This 509-nucleotide ribosomal RNA is filed under the name Lactiplantibacillus plantarum. RNAcentral's name for it is "bacterial SSU rRNA". It matches the Rfam family "Bacterial small subunit ribosomal RNA", at positions 15 to 489 of the family's 1533-position model. The record is from RNAcentral. Lineage: Bacteria; Bacillati; Bacillota; Bacilli; Lactobacillales; Lactobacillaceae.
GAUCCUGGCUCAGGACGAACGCUGGCGGCGUGCCUAAUACAUGCAAGUCGAACGAACUCUGGUAUUGAUUGGUGCUUGCAUCAUGAUUUACAUUUGAGUGAGUGGCGAACUGGUGAGUAACACGUGGGAAACCUGCCCAGAAGCGGGGGAUAACACCUGGAAACAGAUGCUAAUACCGCAUAACAACUUGGACCGCAUGGUCCGAGCUUGAAAGAUGGCUUCGGCUAUCACUUUUGGAUGGUCCCGCGGCGUAUUAGCUAGAUGGUGGGGUAACGGCUCACCAUGGCAAUGAUACGUAGCCGACCUGAGAGGGUAAUCGGCCACAUUGGGACUGAGACACGGCCCAAACUCCUACGGGAGGCAGCAGUAGGGAAUCUUCCACAAUGGACGAAAGUCUGAUGGAGCAACGCCGCGUGAGUGAAGAAGGGUUUCGGCUCGUAAAACUCUGUUGUUAAAGAAGAACAUAUCUGAGAGUAACUGUUCAGGUAUUGACGGUAUUUAACCAGAAA